UACGAAGGGAGCAAGCGUUACUCGGAAUUACUGGGCGUAAAGCGCAUGUAGGCGGACUUUCAAGUCAGGGGUGAAAUCCCGGGGCUCAACCUCGGAAUUGCCUUUGAAACUGUAAGUCUUGAGUAUGACAGAGGAUAGUGGAAUUCCUAGUGUAGAGGUGAAAUUCGUAGAUAUUAGGAGGAACACCAGUGGCGAAGGCGACUGUCUGGGUCAUUACUGACGCUGAGAUGCGAAAGCGUGGGGAGCAAAC
RNAcentral lists this ribosomal RNA (250 nucleotides) under uncultured bacterium. Its description in RNAcentral is "partial 16S ribosomal RNA". It matches the Rfam family "Bacterial small subunit ribosomal RNA", at positions 524 to 773 of the family's 1533-position model. The record is from RNAcentral.